GUCCCCAUCGUCUAGCGGCCUAGGACGUCGGCCUCUCACGCCGAAAACAGGGGUUCAAACCCCCUUGGGGACGCCA
This 76-nucleotide transfer RNA is filed under the name Desulfonatronospira thiodismutans ASO3-1. RNAcentral's name for it is "tRNA-Glu". It matches the Rfam family "tRNA". Rfam says of the family: Transfer RNA (tRNA) molecules are approximately 80 nucleotides in length. Their secondary structure includes four short double-helical elements and three loops (D, anti-codon, and T loops). Further hydrogen bonds mediate the characteristic L-shaped molecular structure. tRNAs have two regions of fundamental functional importance: the anti-codon, which is responsible for specific mRNA codon recognition, and the 3' end, to which the tRNAs corresponding amino acid is attached (by aminoacyl-tRNA synthetases). tRNAs cope with the degeneracy of the genetic code in two manners: having more than one tRNA (with a specific anti-codon) for a particular amino acid; and 'wobble' base-pairing, i.e. permitting non-standard base-pairing at the 3rd anti-codon position. Lineage: Bacteria; Pseudomonadati; Thermodesulfobacteriota; Desulfovibrionia; Desulfovibrionales; Desulfonatronovibrionaceae. RNAcentral also lists the same sequence under 1 other name. The record is from RNAcentral.